AGCUAUGAAAGGAGGCCUCGAGCCCCCUUUGAGCAAUCAGCACCUUUCCUGAGCCCUCAAAAACCUCCCCUCGCUCCAAUUCUGCAUGAGCUGCUCUUUGUGCUCCUCUCUGGCCGCAGCGUUGCCGCCGGCCUCUGGGACAAUUCAGGAAGCCCGAGCCUCACCGUUCACCUCUCCAUCCCCUGCUAGCCUCCUCAAGCCUCACCGAACCCAUUCCCAGUGCUGAUUCAUGCCAUAGCCACCGUAGGACGAAGCUGCGUUCGCUGGAGCCCUCGGUGCGCCGUGGUUGAAAGAGCUCUCGGCCACGAGCUCCCCAGCAGCCCGUGUCCCCUCCAGGUGAUACGGUUCUCAUCCCUGAGCACGCAUACGUGCUCAACUCCAGGAGCAGAGCCCCCUAGCAUCGGCAAGCAUCACCGGAGCUCGCCACUGUCCCUGCCAGGCACGCGCGGGGGUGCGGGAUGAAUUCGACAGGUGCCCCCCACCUGUCGGUGAGAGAGAGUUGUCGCCCUGGUAGCGCUAGCCUGUGGGUGCGUCUUCCUCGCAGGUAAGCAUCUUCUCCUGGGUACGUCUUCAGCUCUAGAAGGCAUAUUCCUCCCCGAAUCGUGUCUUCUCUGCUUCUUUUUAAAAACAGAAUCAAACAGAAACUUAAAAUGGCUCUAAUGUUUUACAGAAAACUCCAAAUGGACUAAUUCUUUUUCCUACCUCUUUCAAAUUGCCUCUAGUCUAAUUACAUAUUUAUUUCAAAAAUAUUCAAACCACUUUUUGUGAUGUUUGGUGUUUGUGUGUUAAUUCAAAUACUUUCAAAAUAGGACUUGGAGAGAGGAGGCUUAUUCUAGGAUUUUGGGGUGCACCUCACCCUCCUCAAACUCCAAAGGCAAGCAUCUUGAACUCUGAUUUGCAUAAAGUUGGGUGAUGUUUAUGGUGGAGCAUCUAUUGCGUGAUUUUAGGUUAUGUUGAUAAAAAUCUCGCAUGAAAUCAUACCUUGCAUAAGAGCACGUGAUGGAUAUUUUUGUUGCUAAGUUUGUGGAAGGCAAGUGGUGAGUGGUUAUUGCCUCAUUCUUGGUAUGCUAUGUUGGUUUAGACAACCUCGGAUAAGGUGUGUCUGGUGGAAAUGAGACCAUGGGCUGACAUCUCGUGGGACGAGAGUGGUUAGUGAAAGCAUGUUGGGGUGUGAUGUUAGUAACCCUGAGAUAAUUCCUUCACCAAGAUUGUGUGGUACUAACCCUUGUAGGAAAAUAUUAAACCUCCUAAGUCGACCGUAGAUCGUGUCUUGUCCGUGUGUCACCAUACCUUUUCGUGCUGUCGUAGGUCUUUCUAAAAGGGAAUACGGCCUAGUAGGUCGUAAAUCUAUUACGAGGUACCCACCAAGUAGAGAGGCCGGGAUGAAGGAAUCCAUGGCCCUGGACUAAAUCCAGUCAUCCGGUCAGGGGCAUGGGUGUUUCCGGUCUGGGACCGAGAGGGAACGGUCGUUCCCUUGUAGCUCGCGGUAUAAAUUUGAUCCCAUGCUAGUCGAGGUUGGAGCCUCCCCGUCUUAUGGUCUUUCUCUGGCAGCGUAGUCCGAGUGAUGUCGGUCUUCGUGGGAGAAAAAUGGGUGUGUGAUGGUUCUGAGAGUUUACUUCUGAGAUACCAUACGUGGGAUUAGUCUGAGUGUCUUUUGGAACCAAUGGGUUGUGGGUAAAGAGUACACCCUCUACAGAGUCAAAAAUAUUCGAGUAGCCGUGUCCAUGGUCAAGGACGACUGGUUGACUAGUCAAGUGUCGGUGUGAGUGUGAGUCUCAAAGGAAGUUAAAGAAAUCAUGAGACUAAUCAUGAAAUGUGGUAGAUGAUCAUACUAUUCUUUUUACUGUGGACUAGCCCCUAUGACUAUGAUUGUUGGAUAUCCUUGGGACAGUUCUACCCCCUGGAUAUUCAAUAUUUAUUAUUCUUUGUAUGCUAUGAUGGUCUAGACAACCUCGGAGUAAGGUGUGUCUGGUGGAAAUGAGACCAUGGGCUGACAUCUCAUGGGACGAGAGUUGUUAGUGAAAGCAUGUUGGGGUGUGAUGUUAGUAAGCUGAGAUAAUUCCUUCAGUAAGAUUGUGUGGUACUAACCCUUGCAAUAAAAUAUUGAACCUCCUAAAUCGACCAUAGAUCGAGUCUUGUCUGUGUGUCACCUUACCUUUUCGUGAUGUCGCAUGUCUUUUCGAAAGGGAAUACGGUCUAGUAGGUCGUAAAUCUAUUACCAGGUACACACCAGGUAGAGAGGCUGGGAUGAAUGUAUCCAUGGUCCUAGACUAAAUCCAGUUAUCCGGUCGGGGGGCAUGAGUGUUUCCGGUCUGGGGCCGAGAGGGAACAGAUGUUCCCUUGUAGCACGUUGUAUAAAUUUGAUCCCAUGCUAGUCGAGGUUGGAGCCUCCCCGUCUUAUUGUCUUUCUCAGGCAGCGUAGUCCGAGUGAUACCGGUCUUCGCGGGAGAAAAAUGGGUGUGUACUGGUUCUGAGAGUUUACUUCUGAGAUACCGUAUGUGGCAUAAGUCCGAGUGACUAUUGGAACCCGUGGGCUGUGGAUAAAGAGUUCACCCUCCGCAGAGUCAAAACUAUUCGAGUAGCCGUGUCCAUGGUCAAGGACGACUGGUUGUCUAGUCAUGUGUCGGUAUGAGUGUCGGUCUCGGGGGAAGUUAAAGAAAUCAUGAGACUAAUCAUGAAAUGUGGCAGAUGAUCAUACAAUUAUUUUAUUGUGGACUAACCCCUAUGACUAUGAUUGUUGGAUAUCCUUGGGACAGUUCUACCUCCUGAAUAUUCAAUAUUUAUUGUUGUUUCUUAUUAAGCCCUUUAUGUGGUGUCGCGUAGACGCCUGACUCAGGCAUGCUUAUUUUUUUUUCUUAUAAGCCCUUUCUGUGGUGUCACGUAGAUGCCCAGUUGUGGCAACCGUUAUUACUUGCAUCUGAGCGCUUUAGGCGGUGUCGCUCCAACGCCCGACUGCGGCACGCAUCUUAUUACUUAUUUGUUAUUAUCUUUCUUGCUUGUUUAUACAACAUUGGUGGAAAAUUGCUUAUUUGCAUGUAUGCAUCCAUGAAUUAAAUUCUAAUGGCAUGGUAGAAUUGUUAGUGGAUUAUGCAUGCAUCUCACUUGCUUUAACUUCUUUGUUUUCUUGAUGUUUGCGAGUACAUUCAGAGUACUCACUGGCUUGUCCCUGGCUAUUGUCUUGGCUAGAUUGCAUUCUGAGACGAGCACGAUGCCGUCGACCCCGGAACCUAGGAGUCCAGGAUAGCAGCCUUGUGAGAUAGGAAUUUAUCAAGGUUAGUUGUUCUUGUGGAAUGGAGUCCCAUGGAUUCUGGAGAUUCCUCGAGUCGCUUCCACCGUCAACCUCAGACAUUUGUCCAAACCAGUAGGCCUUUAUUGUUUUGUAACUCAGGUUUUGUAUUUUGCCUCGAUAUUCUGUAUCAAGUAAGUGUCUACCAGCUAACAAUAAUCCUAGGCUAGUAAACACAAAGACUUGUUUUCUAGAAAUUAUUUUCUGAAAAACCAGUCGCUACAACCUUUAGCCUCCCCCAAAUUUCUUUCCACCCAAUCAAUCUCUUAUACCCAUGCCACAUCUUUGAGAGAGUGAUUGAGUGUUGAGGAGACUAUCUUCUGAAGCACAAGAGAAAGGAAUUCAUCGUACUAUCUCGUCUAUUACCUUUUGGAGGGUGGUGCCUCCUAGAUUGGGUAGGUGUCGCUUGGGAGCCUCCUACUUCGUGUUGUGGAGUUGAACCAAGAAGUUUGUAAGGGCAAGGAGAUCGCCUACUUCAUGAAGAUCUGCCCCGAGUGAGGCUAGUCCUUCAUGUACGUAAGACAUGGUGGAAUAGACAAGGUUUCUUCUUCGUGGACCCUUUGUGGGUGGAUACCUCCGUGGACUCGUGCAACUGUUACCCUUCGCGGGUUGAAGUCUCCACUAACAUGGACAUACGAUAGCACCACCUAUCAGAACCACGCCAAAAAUUGUCGUGUCAACCACUACUAGGGAAAACCCUAGUAGUAGCGCUAGAAAUAUGCAUAGCAGUAGCGCUGGGCCAAGCGCUACUGCUAUCGCGCUACAUCUAAAGACUAGUAGCAGCGCUGGUAUGGGCAGCGCUACUGGUAACUAUAGUAGUAGAGCUUGUUCAUAUGGCGCGUUGCUGCUAAGCCGCGCUACUGGUAAGUAUUGCGAGCGCUACUGCUAACUUUUACUGCUUUCACAGAUUUGCACCCUCUAUACUGCGAUCAUAUUCUCACACAUUGUAAGACUUUGACUAUUAAGACUUGCUCGCUUCUCUAUACUGGGAUCAUAUUCUCACACGUCAUAUUCUACCUAGUACUUCUCUACUGUGAUCCUUCACAAUUUUGCUCCAGUCUUUGACUAUUAAGACUUGCUUGCUUGGAGAAAUGAUGAAUGCACUCGUGUGCAAUAAAGGAUAUCUUGGCCGUAAACUAACCAUUAUCACGCGACCUUUAGUCUCGAUCCAACGAGCAACAACACUCAUCGGGAGUCCAUGUUCAAUACAAGAUGUAACAUACUUAGCAAUGAAGUUUAGCUUAAAAACUAAUGUAUGCAAAAGAUGCACUGAGGACAAAUAGUAAAAAUCACUAUUACUCAAUAAAUAUGGUUGAGGAACUCACAUAUAUAUGAGGAACUUAUAUGACAGAUCAAUAUUACUCAAUAUGCAACGACAACAUGGUGGACAGUCCCUCACCGAUUUUUCGACCGUCGAUGAUGGGCGCUACUCCUACUUCCCCUAGUGCAUAACAAAUAUCUAGCACAAGGAGAAGGAGGAGAAGCGACCCCCACGACAACAGUCGACAUUCUUAUUCUCUCAUAUAUGGUGGACACUCCCUCACCGAUUUUUCGACCGUCGAUGAUGGUUGCUACUCCUACUUCCCCUAGUGCAUAACAAAUAUCUAGCACAAGGAGAAGGAAGAUAAGUGACCCCCACGACAACUAUCGGCAUUCUUCUUCUCUCAUAUAUGGUGGACACUCCCUCACCGGUUUUUCAACCGUCGAUGAUGGUCACUACUCCAACUUCCCCUAGUGCAUAACAAAUAUCUAGCAGAAGGAGAAGGAAGAGAAGCGACCCCCACCACAACAGUCGGCAGUCUUCUUCUCUCAUAUAUGGUGGACACUCCCUCACCAAUUUUUCGACCGUCUGUGAUGUUCGCUACUCCUACUUCCCCUAGUGCAUAACAAAUAUCUAGCACAAGGAGAAGGAAGAGAAGUGCCCCCCACGACAACAGUCAGCAUUCUUCUUCUCUCAUAUAUGGUGGACACUCCCUCACCGAUUAAACUAUUUCUAUUAAACACUUACUAAAUAAACUAUUUCUAUUAAAAACUUACUAAAAACAGUAAAAAAACUACAUUAUACAAUGACAAUAAAAAACUACAUUAUACAGUAACAAUAAAAAAACUACGUUAUAUAAUAACAGUAACAGUAAAAAAAUACAUUAUACAAUAACAGUAAAAAACUAUUUCUUCUCUCAUAUAUGNUAGACUUAGUAGUAGCGCUGGUUUCAGGCCAGCGCUACUGCUAUUAGACUUAGUAGUAGCGCUUUACACAAGCACGCGCUGCUACUAAUGCUACCGUCAGUGGCCUCGUUGGGCCUCCUUUAGCAGUAGCGCUGGA
This 5609-nucleotide long non-coding RNA is filed under the name Hordeum vulgare. RNAcentral's name for it is "long non-coding RNA (HVUL_LNC010354)". The record is from RNAcentral. Lineage: Eukaryota; Viridiplantae; Streptophyta; Magnoliopsida; Poales; Poaceae.